Molecule: microRNA precursor, 75 nt
Filed under: Tupaia belangeri (northern tree shrew)
Lineage: Eukaryota; Metazoa; Chordata; Mammalia; Scandentia; Tupaiidae
Description: miRNA (ENSTBEG00000020600.1)
Source: RNAcentral
CUGGGCCUCCUCUCGCUCCUCUGUGACCCUCCAGAGUGAGGCAUGAGGGGGCGGUGGGGAGCAGGGAGGGCAGGG